RNAcentral lists this ribosomal RNA (253 nucleotides) under uncultured bacterium. RNAcentral's name for it is "partial 16S ribosomal RNA". It matches the Rfam family "Bacterial small subunit ribosomal RNA", at positions 524 to 776 of the family's 1533-position model. The record is from RNAcentral.
UACGUAGGGUCCGAGCGUUGUCCGGAAUUAUUGGGCGUAAAGAGCUCGUAGGCGGUUUGUCGCGUCUGCUGUGAAAUCCCGAGGCUCAACCUCGGGCCUGCAGUGGGUACGGGCAGACUGGAGUGCGGUAGGGGAGAAUGGAAUUCCUGGUGUAGCGGUGAAAUGCGCAGAUAUCAGGAGGAACACCGGUGGCGAAGGCGGGUCUCUGGGCCGUAACUGACGCUGAGGAGCGAAAGCGUGGGGAGCGAACAGG